UAAUAAGUGUUUUAUGGCACUUUUUAAAUCCAUAUCCACCUUGUGUGCAAUGUCAGUCGAUCUUCUUAUUUGAGGAUCGACCAAACAUCAACCUUUAUUUUUAACACUUUGUCUGAAAAAUAUUAUGAAUAAACAAUUCAAAAUA
RNAcentral lists this unclassified non-coding RNA (145 nucleotides) under soil metagenome. RNAcentral's name for it is "partial internal transcribed spacer 1". The record is from RNAcentral.